RNAcentral lists this ribosomal RNA (1372 nucleotides) under uncultured bacterium. RNAcentral describes it as "bacterial SSU rRNA". It matches the Rfam family "Bacterial small subunit ribosomal RNA", at positions 28 to 1381 of the family's 1533-position model. The record is from RNAcentral.
GAUGAACGCUGGCGGCGUGCCUAAUACAUGCAAGUCGAGCGAACGGACGAGAAGCUUGCUUUUCUGAUGUUAGCGGCGGACGGGUGAGUAACACGUGGAUAACCUACCUAUAAGACUGGGAUAACUUCGGGAAACCGGAGCUAAUACCGGAUAAUAUUUUGAACCGCAUGGUUCAAAAGUGAAAGACGGUCUUGCUGUCACUUAUAGAUGGAUCCGCGCUGCAUUAGCUAGUUGGUAAGGUAACGGCUUACCAAGGCAACGAUGCAUAGCCGACCUGAGAGGGUGAUCGGCCACACUGGAACUGAGACACGGUCCAGACUCCUACGGGAGGCAGCAGUAGGGAAUCUUCCGCAAUGGGCGAAAGCCUGACGGAGCAACGCCGCGUGAGUGAUGAAGGUCUUCGGAUCGUAAAACUCUGUUAUUAGGGAAGAACAUAUGUGUAAGUAACUGUGCACAUCUUGACGGUACCUAAUCAGAAAGCCACGGCUAACUACGUGCCAGCAGCCGCGGUAAUACGUAGGUGGCAAGCGUUAUCCGGAAUUAUUGGGCGUAAAGCGCGCGUAGGCGGUUUUUUAAGUCUGAUGUGAAAGCCCACGGCUCAACCGUGGAGGGUCAUUGGAAACUGGAAAACUUGAGUGCAGAAGAGGAAAGUGGAAUUCCAUGUGUAGCGGUGAAAUGCGCAGAGAUGUGGAGGAACACCAGUGGCGAAGGCGACUUUCUGGUCUGUAACUGACGCUGAUGUGCGAAAGCGUGGGGAUCAAACAGGAUUAGAUACCCUGGUAGUCCACGCCGUAAACGAUGAGUGCUAAGUGUUAGGGGGUUUCCGCCCCUUAGUGCUGCAGCUAACGCAUUAAGCACUCCGCCUGGGGAGUACGACCGCAAGGUUGAAACUCAAAGGAAUUGACGGGGGCCCGCACAAGCGGUGGAGCAUGUGGUUUAAUUCGAAGCAACGCGAAGAACCUUACCAAAUCUUGACAUCCUUUGACAACUCUAGAGAUAGAGCCUUCCCCUUCGGGGGACAAAGUGACAGGUGGUGCAUGGUUGUCGUCAGCUCGUGUCGUGAGAUGUUGGGUUAAGUCCCGCAACGAGCGCAACCCUCAAGCUUAGUUGCCAUCAUUAAGUUGGGCACUCUAAGUUGACUGCCGGUGACAAACCGGAGGAAGGUGGGGAUGACGUCAAAUCAUCAUGCCCCUUAUGAUUUGGGCUACACACGUGCUACAAUGGACAAUACAAAGGGCAGCGAAACCGCGAGGUCAAGCAAAUCCCAUAAAGUUGUUCUCAGUUCGGAUUGUAGUCUGCAACUCGACUACAUGAAGCUGGAAUCGCUAGUAAUCGUAGAUCAGCAUGCUACGGUGAAUACGUUCCCGGGUCU